This 440-nucleotide ribosomal RNA is filed under the name uncultured bacterium. RNAcentral's name for it is "partial 16S ribosomal RNA". It matches the Rfam family "Bacterial small subunit ribosomal RNA", at positions 338 to 795 of the family's 1533-position model. The record is from RNAcentral.
CCUACGGGUGGCUGCAGUGGGGAAUAUUGGUCAAUGGGGGAAACCCUGAACCAGCGACGCCGCGUGGGGGAUGAAGGUUUUCGGAUUGUAAACUCCUUUUGUUGGAGACGAUAAUGACGGUAUCUAACGAAUAAGCCACGGCUAACUCCGUGCCAGCAGCCGCGGUAAUACGGAGGGUGCAAGCGUUACUCGGAAUCACUGGGCGUAAAGCGCGCGUAGGCGGGAUAGCAAGUCAGAUGUGAAAUCCUAUGGCUUAACCAUAGAACUGCAUUUGAAACUGUUAUUCUAGAGUAGGGGAGAGGUAGGUGGAAUUCGUGGGGUAGGGGUAAAAUUCGUAGAGAUUAAGAGGAAUACUCAUUGCGAAGGCGACCUGCCAGAACAUAACUGACGCUGAGGCGCGAAAGCGUGGGGAGCAAACAGGAUUAGAUACCCCAGUAGUC